This 492-nucleotide ribosomal RNA is filed under the name uncultured bacterium. RNAcentral describes it as "partial 16S ribosomal RNA". It matches the Rfam family "Bacterial small subunit ribosomal RNA", at positions 29 to 507 of the family's 1533-position model. The record is from RNAcentral.
AGUGAACGCUGGCGGUAGGCCUAACACAUGCAAGUCGAACGGCAGCACAGUAAGAGCUUGCUCUUACGGGUGGCGAGUGGCGGACGGGUGAGGAAUACAUCGGAAUCUACUUUUUCGUGGGGGAUAACGUAGGGAAAUUUACGCUAAUACCGCAUACGACCUACGGGUGAAAGCAGGGGAUCUUCGGACCUUUCGCGAUUGAAUGAGCCGAUGUCGGGUUAGCUAGUUGGCGGGGUAAAGGCCCACCAAGGCGACGAUCCGUAGCUGGUCUGAGAGGAUGAUCAGCCACACUGGCACUGAGACACGGUCCAGACUCCUACGGGAGGCAGCAGUGGGGAAUAUUGGACAAUGGGCGAAAGCCUGAUCCAGCCAUACCGCGUGGGUGAAGAAGGCCUUCGGGUUGUAAAGCCCUUUUGUUGGGAAAGAAAAGCAGCAGGUUAAUACCCCGUUGUUCUGACGGUACCCAAAGAAUAAGCACCGGCUAACUUCGUG